RNAcentral lists this non-coding RNA (180 nucleotides) under Durinskia baltica. Lineage: Eukaryota; Dinophyceae; Peridiniales; Kryptoperidiniaceae. The record is from RNAcentral.
GAAACCAAAUAAGCAACCAAGAGAAAAGCAGAGGCAGAGAGAGAGAGAGAGAUCGAUUUUUACUGUUUAGCCCUGCUAUUGCCAAGUUUCAUCGCAUUCUUCUUUUUUUUCAUUUUUCAUUCCGUUGGGACCAAAACAUGGAGGGACUGCAUGAUUUUCAAUGGAGGAAGGAAAUGAGUU